UGGUCGGGAUAGCUCAGUUGGUAGAGCAGAGGACUGAAAAUCCUCGU
RNAcentral lists this transfer RNA (47 nucleotides) under Primulina glandulosa. RNAcentral's name for it is "partial tRNA-Phe". It matches the Rfam family "tRNA", at positions 1 to 44 of the family's 71-position model. From Rfam's summary of the family: Transfer RNA (tRNA) molecules are approximately 80 nucleotides in length. Their secondary structure includes four short double-helical elements and three loops (D, anti-codon, and T loops). Lineage: Eukaryota; Viridiplantae; Streptophyta; Magnoliopsida; Lamiales; Gesneriaceae. The record is from RNAcentral.